UGGGGAAUUUUGGACAAUGGGCGAAAGCCUGAUCCAGCCAUACCGCGUGAGUGAAGAAGGCCUUCGGGUUGUAAAGCUCUUUUAGUCGGAAAGAAAGAGUUGCAAUGAAUAAUUGUGAUUUAUGACGGUACCGACAGAAAAAGCACCGGCUAACUACGUGCCAGCAGCCGCGGUAAUACGUAGGGUGCGAGCGUUAAUCGGAAUUACUGGGCGUAAAGGGUGCGCAGGCGGUCUUGCAAGUCAGAUGUGAAAGCCCCGGGCUUAACCUGGGAAUUGCGUUUGAAACUACAAGGCUAGAGUGCAGCAGAGGGGAGUGGAAUUCCAUGUGUAGCAGUGAAAUGCGUAGAGAUGUGGAAGAACACCGAUGGCGAAGGCAGCUCCCUGGGUUGACACUGACGCUCAUGCACGAAAGCGUGGGGAGCAAACA
This 427-nucleotide ribosomal RNA is filed under the name uncultured beta proteobacterium. Its description in RNAcentral is "bacterial SSU rRNA". It matches the Rfam family "Bacterial small subunit ribosomal RNA", at positions 355 to 774 of the family's 1533-position model. The record is from RNAcentral. Lineage: Bacteria; Pseudomonadati; Pseudomonadota; Betaproteobacteria.